GAUGAACGCUGGCGGCGUGCCUAAUACAUGCAAGUCGAGCGAAGCCUUCGGGCUUAGCGGCGGACGGGUGAGUAACGCGUGGGAACGUGCCCUUUGGUAAGGAAUAGCCCCGGGAAACUGGGAGUAAUACCGUAUGUGGUCGCGAGACGAAAGAUUUAUCGCCAAAGGAUCGGCCCGCGUUGGAUUAGGUAGUUGGUGGGGUAAUGGCCUACCAAGCCGACGAUCCAUAGCUGGUUUGAGAGGAUGAUCAGCCACACUUGGACUGAGACACGGCCCAGACUCCUACGGGAGGCAGCAGUGUGGGAUCUUAGACAAUGGGGGAAACCCUGAUCUAGCCAUGCCGCGUGAUCGAUGAAGGCCUUAGGGUUGUAAAGCUCUUUCAGUGGGGAAGAUAGUGACGGUACCCACAGAAGAAGCCCCGGCUAACUCCGUGCCAGCCGCCGCAGUAA
RNAcentral lists this ribosomal RNA (449 nucleotides) under uncultured bacterium. RNAcentral's name for it is "partial 16S ribosomal RNA". It matches the Rfam family "Bacterial small subunit ribosomal RNA", at positions 28 to 523 of the family's 1533-position model. The record is from RNAcentral.